AUUGAACGCUGGCGGCAUGCCUUACACAUGCGAGUCGAACGGUAACGGGCCUUCGGGUGCCGACGAGUGGCGAACGGGUGAGUAAUACAUCGGAACGUGCCCGAUCGUGGGGGAUAACGAGGCGAAAGCUUUGCUAAUACCGCAUACGAUCUACGGAUGAAAGCAGGGGACCGCAAGGCCUUGCGCGGACGGAGCGGCCGAUGGCAGAUUAGGUAGUUGGUGGGGUAAAAGCUUACCAAGCCGACGAUCUGUAGCUGGUCUGAGAGGAUGAUCAGCCACACUGGGACUGAGACACGGCCCAGACUCCUACGGGAGGCAGCAGUGGGGAAUUUUGGACAAUGGGCGCAAGCCUGAUCCAGCCAUGCCGCGUGCAGGAUGAAGGCCUUCGGGUUGUAAACUGCUUUUGUACGGAACGAAAAGCCUUCUUUUAAUACAGGAGGGUCAUGACGGUACCGUAAGAAUAAGCACCGGCUAACUACGUG
RNAcentral lists this ribosomal RNA (482 nucleotides) under uncultured bacterium. Its description in RNAcentral is "partial 16S ribosomal RNA". It matches the Rfam family "Bacterial small subunit ribosomal RNA", at positions 30 to 507 of the family's 1533-position model. The record is from RNAcentral.